CCUACGGGUGGCAGCAGUCGAGAAUCAUUCACAAUGGGGGAAACCCUGAUGGUGCGACGCCGCGUGGGGGAAUGAAGGUCUUCGGAUUGUAAACCCCUGUCAUGUGGGAGCAAAUUAAAAAGAUAGUACCACAAGAGGAAGAGACGGCUAACUCUGUGCCAGCAGCCGCGGUAAUACAGAGGUCUCAAGCGUUGUUCGGAAUCACUGGGCGUAAGGCGUGCGUAGGCUGUUUCGUAAGUCGUGUGUGAAAGGCGCGGGCUCAACCCGCGGACGGCACAUGAUACUGCGAGACUAGAGUAAUGGAGGGGGAACCGGAAUUCUCGGGGUAGCAGUGAAAUGCGUAGAUAUCGAGAGGAACACUCGUGGCGAAGGCGGGUUCCUGGACAUUAACUGACGCGGAGGCACGAAGGCCAGGGGAGCGAAAGGGAUUAGAUACCCCUGUAGUC
This 446-nucleotide ribosomal RNA is filed under the name uncultured bacterium. RNAcentral's name for it is "partial 16S ribosomal RNA". It matches the Rfam family "Bacterial small subunit ribosomal RNA", at positions 338 to 795 of the family's 1533-position model. The record is from RNAcentral.